UUAUAAAGGUAAUGUUUAACGUUAAUGGUUUUAAGUCAGCAGGUUGAAGUGAGAACUUUAAGUUUGAAUCGUGGACGAUUUGUGCUAACAAUUUAUUUAUUCAUUCUUUACUUUGAUAAAUGAAUCCUUCAGGGAGGAGAGACGGUGUUUAAAGCUUAAAUAUGAUCUGUUCAUGUGCACCGAAUGCAGAGAGAGCAAGCUGAAGUUGUAUUUUGUUUGUCGGUGACCAAUGCUGCAUUCAUUUGAUGAGAAACAGUUAAAACAGUGGUAUUAUUGAUCAUUGAGCUUUAUCUCCUGAGCGAUUCUUAAGCAUUACGAGCACUACAAACUCUUCACUGCACAAUAUCCGACCAUCUAUUCAGAGCACAACCUGCAUUUUUCUCCGCAGCUGAACGUUUGGUUUUCCGUUUUCUCCAAGCAGCAGUUCUUCUGUAUUGUUCUUCCCACCUCUCCCCAACCCCCACCCCCCCCCCCCCCCCCCACCCCCCCCCCCCCCAAAAAAAAAAAAAAAAAAAAAAAGUUCAUUCCUUUUAAUACUAAGUUGAUCAUUUGUGUUCAAUUACUACUGUUAUUUUAAAAGUUCAGUCCUUUAAUACUAGGUUAAUAAUUUGUUUAAUCUGCUAUUGUUCUUUUCUUUGGAAAAAAGUUUCUAUUAACACUAGAUUCAUAAAUUGUUUUAUUUGUUACUGUUCUUUCUAUUGAAAAAUUGAGUUUAUUAGCUGUAUUUGUAAGUCUUUCUUUUUCUUGUCAAUUAACUAACUUGUUUUUUUCUUGAGAAAACUUUGCAGGUUGUAUCACUUCAGCAUUUCGUGAAGUAAGUGACUGAAAAUAUCCUGUCAAAAAAAUGCUUAUUGAAUACAGUACUAUUUGAUUGUAGCAUUAAAACCAUUUUACAGUCAUCACAGAUCUGUUCAAACGCAUAAUGAAGAAAAGAAUGUUUGCUUAACAUUUUAAGACAGUUUGCUUAUUUAAGAGAUGAUGUGAAAUCAUCGGCUUAUAAUUAUUAUUACUGAAAAAUAAUCAGAACAGAUGAUUAGGACAUUAAACUUGGAUCAUUUAAUCCCAUUUAGCUACAAAAAAGGUUGAGUAUUAUGAUCAUAAAAUUGCAAAAGGCUGUAAUUAAACUAAAUUAUCUAACUCUGAUGUGGCGUAUGUUUGAAAAUUAAGCACUUCGUUUACAUACAUGCAGCAUGUGAUGGUGUUUUCAGAGCAUCUCUACAGAGAGAGCAUCACAUUUACACAAUUUCCGUGUCUGUACAUGCUUGUGGAGUUGUAGGAUUCCCAACUCUUUGACCAAGUUAUUUCUAAUUAAUGGGCUAGUCAGAUAUGUCAUGGAUUAUUUUAUCUCAUGUCUUUGGUCUGUUUUCUCAUAUUUU
Long non-coding RNA from Cyprinus carpio (common carp), 1376 nucleotides. The record is from Ensembl. NCBI's taxonomy places the organism in Eukaryota, Metazoa, Chordata, Actinopteri, Cypriniformes, Cyprinidae.